GGCCGGCCGGGCGGGCGCCGACAAUGAGCCUCCAUAAAAGGGAGCGGCGGGGGCCUGGGGCCCCGGAUUGAGCCCUCCCCACCCGGGGUCCCGACGCGUUCGGUCUCGGGGAGGCCCGGACGCGCCCGUCGCAGGCCGGGCGGUGAGCGGCGGGCGGCGGGGAAGGGGCUGCGCGGGGCGGGAGGCGGCCCCUGGCUGCGCGCCCGGCCUCCAGCGUCCGGUCACCGCGAUACCCCCCCCGCAUACACACCGGCCGCACCAUGGCCCUAAAGGCCGAGGGCGCCGCGCUCGACUGCUUCGAGGUGACGCUCAAAUGCGAGGAAGGGGAGGACGAGGAGGAGGCCAUGGUGGUGGCUGUAAUUCCGCGGCCCGAGCCGAUGCUCAGAGUGGCCCAACAGGAGAAGACCCCAACGCCUAGGCCCAACCUGCUGGAGGCGGGUGGCGAUGGCUGCGAGGAGCCCAAGCAGCAGGUGUCUUGGGAGCAGGAGUUCCUGGUGGGAAACAGCCCAGGAGGCAGCGGGCGGGCACUGUGCAUGGUGUGUGGGGCCGAAAUCCGGUCCCCCUCUGCAGACACGGCGCGCAUGCACAUCCUGGAACAGCAUCCUCACACCCUGGACCUGAGCCCUUCAGAGAAAAGCAACAUCCUGGAGGCCUGGAGUGAGGGGGUGGCCCUUUUGCAAGACAUCAGAGCUGAGCAGACUUCUUCACCCACCUCAGACUCAGGCCAGGAUGUCGAAGCUGACCCGGACUCCGACCCAGACCCUGCCAAAAUGCCAGCAGAGAUUGUCGUUCUCCUUGACUCUGAGGACAACCCAUCUCUCCCGAAAAGGAGCCGGCCCAGGGGACUCCGCCCCCUCGAGCUUCCGGCUGCUCCUGUCUCGGAGCCAGGAAAUAGGAAGCCCCGUGGUCAGAGAUGGAAGGAACCCCCUGGGGAAGAGCCGGUCAGAAAGAAAAGAGGCAGACCCAUGACCAAAAACUUGGACCUGGACCCAGACCCUGACCCAGACCCCCCGUCACCCGACUCACCCACAGAGACUUUUGCUGCUCCUGCUGAGGUCCGACACUUCACUGACGGCAGCUUCCCCCCAGGCUUCGUCCUCCAGCUCUUCUCCCACACCCAGCUCAGGGCCUCAGACAGCAAGGACUCACCCAAAGAGGGGAGAGCUGCAGAAGGAGGCCUUCCCCAGCCGGAAAGCCCCUCUCCAGCAUGUCAUCGGUCUCCUUAAAUCCCCACAACCACCAUACACAGUAUUAGGAUUUCCAUUUUGGAGAAGAGGACACAGCCUCGGAGAGGUAAGGCACCUCUCUCAGGGCCCCUCGCCUAGUAAGCAACAGCCUGUGUGCGUCUCCACCUGUGCCCAUCCCCCUCCAGCAUCCAAGCCGCAUCCUCUGCCUUCUCUCUGCUGCUGGCAAAGCCUGUCGUCCCGCCCCCCCCCCCCCCAACUCCUCUCUGGAGCCCAUCCCGCACCCUGCCGGCCACUCUUCUCUCUGUGCUCUCCUCUUUGUCCACCGUCCGUAUUUCCCUCUCCUCCAGAUCUUACCCGGCAGCCUAUGCAAAGCUGUGAUUUCUCCCUUCUUGACCCCUCAUGCCUCCCUAGCCACUGUCCCAUGUGUCCCCAAGCCUUUUCAGCAAAGCUGGGAGCAUUUUCUACACUAACUGGCCCUCCCCUCUCUGGGAGCCACUUCAGUCCUAUUCCCAUCCUCCCAUCUCAUGCUAAAAUUGCUUUUUUGGCAAGGUCACCUUUGACUUGCCUAAAAUGAAAAUCCAGCAGUCAAUUCUCCGUGCUUGACUUUCCCCAAUGUGACCAUAACUGUGACAUCGCCCCUCCCUCCUUUCUGGAAUCACUCUUGAUCUUGGGGCUCCUCGGGCCACUGGCCGGGUCUCCCUCCAGCUUCACUGGCUGUUCUGUUUCUCCGGCCUGUCCUUUCAUACACGACUCCCUGAAUCAGAUGGGACAGUUCUCUCUCCUCUUUCUUGAGUGUAAGCUGCUUCAGGUCAGGAUGUGUGUCUGUUUCAUUUCCUGUGAUCUCCCCAGCACCUGGCAUAGGGUCCAGGUGCUGCUGUGUUCAGUGAGGGAGCGGUUAAGUGAGGGACUGGAUGCCUCAACCCCGGGGCAAGACCUUCCUCACUCCCGGAGCGAUCCAGUCCAAGUUCAUGUGCUCCCAGCUCCCACCCAGAUUCCCCCUGGUUCCAGCCUCUCUUCCAGAUGCCCAUGUGACAUAUCUGUGGUUGUCCAUAAGAUCUGUCAAACUGGCUUAUCCGAACUGAACCCCCACGUCCCCCCACCCACCCCGAGCCACUCUCCUCCUCCCUAUCCUCCUCUCCCCUUUUCCAUUGUGCACUUUGCUCAGGCUGGGGCAAAGCAUAGCGGACUCUCACUUUCUGUACGUCUUUGCUCACAUACCCGCUCCACGAGGCCCUCCGUGCUAUCUGUCCCCUUCCCUGGUGUGUUUUCUUAUUUCACUUUGUUUCCAUCCAUACGCAACACAUCACAUCUUGUGUCCGUUCAUCCUUUCGGCUCCUGCCACCGGAUCGGGAGUUCCAGGAAGGCCGCGUGGAGUCUGCUCGCCCCUCUCUUAGGGCCCGGUUUUGCCUAUUCUGAGCAGCUGCUCCCCACUGCUGAGGUGGACAUCUGAUCCCCAAGGGCUCCCCCUCCGGGGCUUCGCGGGACACUGGAUCUCCAGGUUAUCCGCGUCCGGAUGGAGGAGCCCCCGGCAGUCAGCCUCCUGCAAGACUGGUCCAAGCAUCCCCAGGGCACCAAGAGUGUGGGAGCAGGUGAUACCCC
Mirounga angustirostris (Northern elephant seal) is the source of this 2786-nucleotide RNA transcript. It is a transcript of the gene named spindlin interactor and repressor of chromatin binding, with no coding region annotated. The transcript is spliced from 7 exons. The record is from RefSeq and is a predicted model, not a curated record. NCBI's taxonomy places the organism in Eukaryota, Metazoa, Chordata, Mammalia, Carnivora, Phocidae.